RNAcentral lists this long non-coding RNA (7611 nucleotides) under Lactuca sativa (garden lettuce). RNAcentral's name for it is "long non-coding RNA (LSAT_LNC006517)". The record is from RNAcentral. Lineage: Eukaryota; Viridiplantae; Streptophyta; Magnoliopsida; Asterales; Asteraceae.
AUUGGUGUGUAGAAUGUCUAAAUGGUGUUAGACAUAGCAAAGGAUUGCUGCAACGUUCAUGAGUGCUUAUGAACUAGUUUUGAGCAUUGGAAUAAACCCGCGCUUGCUGGAAUCACCUUAUGGAAUACGAUAUAAAAGGUGAUCGCAAGACGAUAAUAUCAUAUAGUCUUAAAACCUAGAUAUAUGGUUUAUUAUUUGUUAAUUGAUUGUACAUUGAUAAUACGAAAACGCAUCAGUAACUUGGUGUUAUAAAACGUAUUGUUGUGUAUAGUUGGUUAAUGAAUAAGUAAAUGCAUAUAAGUCGAAGUUUAUCUGUAACUUUUAUCUAAGAAGGUAAAAGCGAUAUCUCGGCCGCUCGAUGAUUUGAUUUGACUUAUGUGCCGGGCCCGGUCAGAACUGAAUUGAUGUGUUCGAUUAAGUUCUAUGUCAAAUAAAUCAGAGAUCGAGAAACCUAAAUGCUUGACUAACCAUUCCAUAGGAUUGUCAGCAUGAUAUCUAACAGAGGACUGUACGUUCCCUUAUCUAAAGGACAAGAUUGAUUAGAUCAGAGUUGACAGCGUCUUUGAGAGCUACGAUUGCAAACCGAAUUGUACUUGUAUAGUUACUAGACUUAUCCAAGUGGGAGACUGUUGGAAUAGUGUCUAAGGCUGUAACUAUAUCCGGUUGUGCAUGGUCCUUUUGGGUUGCCUUCACCAUAGCAACUUGAUAGGAUGAUUUAUUAAGAGAGAGUAAAUAUUAUUAAUAUAUUAUGGGAAUAAUAUAAUGAAUAAUAUAUUUGUUAUUUGAUUAAUAUAAGUCAUAGAAUUAAUUAGAAUUAAUUUGGUGACUUAAAGAGAUUAAUUAAAUAAAGGGGUAUAAACUGUCAAUUGUUUGAUAGUUAAGCUUUAAACUGUAAAUCCAUUUGGAUAUACUAUGGACGAAUUCUAAGAGGAUUAGGAUAGCUAAAAUCGUCCAUUAGAGUUAUCUAGGAAUGGAUUUGGAUAGCCUUAAGAGAAGAUUAUCUGAUAGGGACUUAUCUGUAAUCCUUAAGGAGUCUACAAGUAUAAAUAGACCCCAUGGCUGAUGGAAUUCGACACUUGACCUAAAGUAAGGAACCUCUGGUCGAAAUUCCUCCCCUCUCCUCUCUCCCAAAUCAUCCUCCUUGCUUUGGUGUUUGUAAGCCAUUAGAGGAGUGACAUUUGUGACUCUAGAAGCUCCAAGACCUCAAGAUCAACAAGGAACUCAAAGGUAUGAUUCUAGAUCUGUUUUAAUGUUCUUGUUUAACCUAAUUAGUAAUUAGAAGUCUUGGAUUCAAAGCAUGUUUAUUAGAAAGCCUAGAUCCAAGCAUUAGGGUUUUGCAUGCGCACAUAGGAAAGUUCUUAUGGCUAAAACCCAUCAGUGGUAUCAGAGCCUAGCUUGGUUUUCUGUAAAUUGUUGCUUGAUUAACUGAAACAAACCUGCAAAAUUCGAAUUUUUGGUUUCUGAGUCAUGGACUCGGCGAGUCUCAAAGUGGACUCGGCGAGUAGGCCUGACUCGGCGAGUCCAUUUGUGCACUCGGCGAGUCCAGGCGUCAGGAAUGGCCAGAUUCGGGAUUUCUUUGUGUUUAUCUUAUCUUAACUUACCAUAAACUAAUUAGAUCAACAUUAAUUCGUUUUUCUGAUAAAUAUAACUAUUAUCUUGAUCUAGUUAAAGGUAAUUAUCAACUAAUUAAAUAUUUAAUUUCCUUAUAUGAUAAUUAAUUAAUUAUUUUGAUUAUUUUGGUAAUUAUCUUUAAAAGAAAUCUUGAAUAAAUCAAAUAUAGAUAAUUAGGAUAUUAAUUGUUAAUUGGAAUUAUUUGUUAUUUGAUCCUCCAUGUUUUAAAUGUUUAAAACCUACCCUCAUGUUUUGAAAUUUACUUUUGUGAUUAAAAGUUUUAAUUUAGACAACUUAAAUUUCAAACCCUAGAUUUUAAAAGUUUUAAAAUACAACCCUAUACUAAUAUGAUAUUACUAGAAUAAUAUAUAUAUGUAUAACUAAAUGCUAGUCUUACCGUUAGUAGGCCUCAUUCACGAAGCCGAUCUAUAAGGUGGGUAUAAGGUUGCGGCCUAUAAAAUGGCGCUUAAUGGGUGUACACUCACACCCACCGCUUGCUUGAUUGGUGGAGGGUCGUUAGCCGAACGGGUAGGAUAGGGCAACCUCAUCCUCUCAUUAAAAGUAUAAUAAGAAAUAUAAAGUAACUACACAUUUUUUUAAAAUUUCCCAAUCCUAGUUACUUUAGGAAAAGUGAAUUGAUGCAAUCCCAUGAAAUUACACUUUGCACCUUGCUAAGAUGUUAGUGGAGCGUGUGUGGUUUACCGGCACACUAAUUGGUUCUAAGCGAAGGUGGCAAAGGGUGAUUCAUUGUUUAUCAUAGUUCGAUGGAGCGUGUGUGGUUUACCGGCACAUCGAAUAGGUGAUUGUUACAAUGAAGGCACCAUGUGAAUUUGCAUGGUAAUUCACACCCGCUUUGUGAUCCUCGGCAUCCCAGUCACAAACAAGAGGGGCAUAUCGAGAUUUAAACAUGCCAUUGAAUAGUUUCAAUGAAUCUCAUCCGAACCUAGGAAUUCUCAAAAACACUUAGGACUAAUAGUUUAAGUUUUGUGAUGGAGAAUUAGUGAAUCGUCAUUCACUUACCUUCAAUUUAUUUGCAUGUUAGAUUACGGCAUCCCUUUUCUAGUAUGUAAAUGUUAUUGUUGGAUCCUAGCCCUAAUUUUCUUAUUGGGUGAUAAUUAGGGAUUCUUAUUCUAAUCUAUCUUUGUCCUUUUCUAAUUGUAGAUGUCGAACGCAAACAACGCUGCUGCUAGUUCUUUCACGUUGAUGAGCCUUUGCCAAAAGGUCACCUUCGAUGGAACGAACUUUAGCGAAUGGAUAAGAUACAUUCGCACCAUUGCUCGCUAUGAGGAUAAGGAGUAUGUCCUCGAUGAGAAGCUCGAGAAAAUCAACCCCGAAAUUGCUACUCCCGCCGAAAUCACCGCCUUUGAAACUCAUGAGCGAGAUGCAACGAAGGUACAUUGCAUCAUGAUCGCCACCAUGAACUCCGAAUUCCAAAAGUCCUACGAGGACAUGUACCCGUACGAGAUGCAUCAAGACUUAUUGGAGAGGUACCACCAAAACGCGAGACAAGAGAGGUACGAGAUUUUCACUAACAUGAUUUCCGCGAAGAUGGGUCAUGGAGAAUCUCUUACCGUGCACUUGCAAAAGAUGCAAAGGUAUGUUGACCGCCUCCGCAAGUUAAAUGUUGACUUCGGUGAAGACUUGGCGAUCGACAUGGUGCUUCACUCUUUGCCUCCGAUGUACAACCAAUUUAGGAUGACCUACCACAUGAACAAAGAAGAGGUCACCCUAAGCAAGCUCCAAGGUCUCUUGAGGGUUGCUGAGAGCAACUUCAAGGACAAGUCUGUUGCACCUACUCCCAAUCCGCCCGCUGCUCCUGUCUUGGCUAUUGGACAAGGGAAGGGAAAGAAGAGGAAAGCUUCAUCGAAGAACUAUCGCAAGGUGAAAGCCCGAGAUGGUGCCUCUUCUAGUGGGACCAAAGUUGAUCCCGCCAAGCCCUGCUCUAACCCGAAGGAGGCAGAGUGCCACCACUGCCACAAGAUAGGACAUUGGAAGAGAAGCUGCCCGGAUUACCUGCAAGCAAUCAAAGAAGGAAAGAUCAAGCCAUCUUUCGCAGGUAUAUAUACAAUCAAAUCUAACGAUUCUAAUCAUGCUAUUUCUUGGGUUCUUGAUACCGGUUGUGGUUAUCACAUUUGUUCUAAUGUGCAGGGACUAAGAAGAAGUAGGGAUGUGGAGCAAGGAAGGAUCAAUCUAAUCAUGGGGAACAGAAGAUCGUCGCCUGUGACCAAGAUUGGAGUGUAUUCUUUAGUGCUUAGGAAUAGUUUGGUUUUAGAUUUGAACAAUUGUUGCUAUUCGCCAGAAAUGGCUAGAAACAUCAUUUCAUUUCAUGGUUUAUAUAGACAAGGAUUUAGAUUUUCUUUUAAUAAUGAGAAUGGUUCUAUUUUGGCUUAUCUAAAUGGUGUCUUUUACUUUGAAGCUAUACCAUGUAAUGGAAUAUAUGAAACCGUUAUGAUUGUUGAUAACUUAGGAAAUGAUGUUUUGAAUAUUGAUUCUUCCACUAGUAUGGAUAAAGCAUCCUUGUGGCAUUGUCGUCUUGGACAUGUCAACAAGAAACGCAUAGCCCAACUCCAAAAGGAUGGAGUGUUGGAGUCAUUCGACCUUAGGGAAGAUGACACAUGCGAGUCUUGUUUGCUUGGAAAGAUGACUAAGUCACCCUUCACGAGUACAUGUGAAAGGGGCGAGGGUCUAUUGGACCUAAUACAUACCGAUGUAUGUGGACCGUUUAGAUCAACCACGAAGGAUGGGAACCGCUUCUAUGUGACUUUUACCGAUGACUAUAGUAGAUAUGGGUAUAUCUACUUAAUCAAGCAAAAGUCAGAAACCUUUGAAAAGUUCAAAGAGUUCAAGAAUGAAGUGGAGAAUCAAUUGGGCAGGAAAAUCAAGAUGCUUCGAUCCGAUCGAGGAGGAGAGUACCUAAGUCUUGAAUUCCACGAUUAUCUCAAGGAGUGUGGAAUAGUUUCGCAAUUGACGCCUCCUAGGACACCGCAGUUGAAUGGUGUGGCAGAAAGGCGUAAUCGAACCUUAUUGGAUAUGGUUCGCUCUAUGAUGAGUCGUGCUUCACUACCUAUCUCUUUUUGGGGGUAUGCCUUAGAGACUGCCGCCCAUAUCCUUAACCGAGUCCCUACUAAGAAGGUUGCCAAAACACCUCACGAGAUGUGGACAGGGAAAGCUCCCUCGUUGGCACAUAUCAAGGUUUGGGGUUGCGAGGCUUUCGUAAGACGAGAUACUCACGACAAGCUUGAACCUCGAAGUGAGCGAUGUAUUUUCAUCGGCUACCCGCAGACAUCCUUUGGAUAUCUCUUCUAUAGACCGAAGGACAAUGUUGUCUUCGUUGCGAGGAGAGGAGUUUUCCGAGAGCGAGAACUCAUAAGCCAAGGAGACAGUGGGAGGCAAAUCGAACUUGAAGAGAUUCAAGAGUCGAUAGAUGAAGGAACCUCUACCGCUGGCAUUCAACCCGAGGAGGAAACUCCGGUUGAACCGAUUGACGAAUCCUUACCUCUUAGACGUUCCGAUAGAGUUAGAGUUCAACCCCAGUUUUAUGGUUUUCAUAUUACUACCGAAGGGGACACGUAUAUUAGUGAUGGUACACUAAUAAAUCUUGAUGAACCUAAUAGCUAUAAGGAAGCCAUGGCAGGCCCGGAGUCUGCAAAAUGGAAAGAGGCAAUGGAUAGCGAGAUCCAAUCCAUGUAUGAUAACCAAGUUUGGAAUUUGGUUGAUUAUGUGCCCGGACGUAAGACCGUUGGGUGCAAAUGGAUCUUCAAGAAGAAGACCGACGUGGAUGGAAACGUACACACAUAUAAAGCGCGAUUGGUUGCGAAGGGCUUUACUCAAACUCCCGGAGUUGACUAUGAUGAGACCUUCUCACCAGUUGCGAAGAUUAAAUCUAUUAGAGUGAUGCUAGCAAUUGCCGCAUUUCAUGAUUAUGAGAUUUGGCAAAUGGAUGUCAAGACCGCUUUCCUUAACGGAAAGUUGGCUGAGGAUGUUUACAUGGCUCAGCCAGAGGGGUUUGUGGAUCCGAAGCAUCCGAAUAGAGUGUGUAAGCUUGAGAAGUCCAUUUAUGGACUUAAGCAAGCGUCUCGCAGAUGGAAUCUUUGCUUCGAUGAGAAAGUCAAAGAGUUUGGAUUUGUACGAAGCGAAGACGAAUCUUGUGUAUAUGUCAAAGCCAGUGGGAGUAUAGUAAGCUUCCUCGUUCUAUAUGUCGAUGACAUAUUACUCAUAGGAAACGACAUCCCGACUCUGCAGGAGGUUAAGUCCUGGCUCGGGAAGUGCUUCGCUAUGAAGGACCUCGGAGAGGCUUCUUACAUUUUGGGAAUAAGGAUAGUAAGAGAAAGAAGUAAGAGACUAAUAGGACUUAGUCAGAACACUUACUUAGAGAAGGUACUAAAACGUUUUAGUAUGGAAAACUCGAAGAAGGGAGAAUUACCAAUACAAAGUAAUGCCAAGUUGAGUAAGACUCAAAGUCCGAGUACCGAAGCUGAGAUAGCAGAAAUGAGCCGAGUACCAUACGCUUCCGCAGUUGGCUCAAUCAUGUACGCUAUGACUUGUACUCGCCCUGAUGUAGCCUUCGCUUUGAGCAUGGUUAGCAGAUAUCAAGGGAAUCCUGGCAGAGCACAUUGGAUUGCGGUGAAGAACAUCCUUAAGUACCUUCGGAGGACGAAGGAAUGGUUCUUAAUCCUCGAAGGGAGUGAUGACUUGAAGGUGCGAGGGUAUAGUGAUGCCAGUUUUCAGACCGACAGGGACAACUACCGUUCGCAGUCGGGCUGGGUCUUUACCCUAAAUGGAGGAGCAGUGACAUGGAAGAGUUCCAAGUAGGACACCGUAGCUGAUUCAACGUGCGAAUCAGAGAACAUCGCAGCGAGCGAAGCGUCGAAGGAGGCAAUAUGGCUAAAGAACUUCAUCGGUGAUCUUGGAGUUGUACCUACCAUAAAUGAGCCCAUGGAGAUUUUAUGUGAUAACGAAGGAGCAGUUGCCUUGACCAAGGAACCAAUGGAUCAUGGUAUAUCAAGACAUAUCGACAGAAAAUAUCACUUCAUCAGACAUCGUGUAGAAGAAGGACAACUCGUAGUGAAGAGGAUAUCAUCAGAAGAUAACCCAGCAGAUCCGCUUACGAAGGGACUGAGUAGGGUUAAGCACUUGCAGCAUGCUAGGAGUAUUGGGCUGAAGGAUGAUAUUAGCAUAGAUUAGAUAGUAUUAGAAACGUGUAAUAGAUAAAUGUAAUUAACAUUUGAUGAUUAAAUAAAGGAGUUUUAUUUAUGAGUAAUGUUACUAUCUUAUGUUAAUUGUUUAACUAUUGUUUCACUUUGCAUGUUUUGACUUCCAGAAUAAUUGAGUUUAUUAGGAAUAAUCGAAUUGUUCAAAUUGUCCACAAUCGUUCAUAUGUUGGAAGUAGAUAUGAAUGACGAUUGUCAUGAAUUAGUAUGUAGAUUGUCUGAAUAGUGUUAGACAUAGCAAAGGAUUGCUGCAACGUUCAUGAGUGCUUAUGAACUAGUUUUGAGCAUUGGAACAAACUCGCGCUUGCUGGAAUCACCUUAUGGAAUACGAUAUAAAAGGUGAUCGCAAGACGAUAAUAUCAUAUAGUCUUAAAACCUAGAUAUAUGGUUUAUUAUUUGUUAAUUGAUUGUACAUUGAUAAUGCGAAAACGCAUCAGUAACUUGGUGUUAUAAAACGUAUUGUUGUGUAUAGUUGGUUAAUGAAUAAGUAAAUGCAUAUAAGUCGAAGUUUAUCUGUAACUUUUAUCUAAGAAGGUAAAAGCGAUAUCUCGGCCGCUCGAUGAUUUGAUUUGACUUAUGUGCCGGGCCCGGUCAGAACUGAAUUGAUGUGUUCGAUUAAGUUCUAUGUCAAAUAAAUCAGAGAUCGAGAAACCUAAAUGCUUGACUAACCAUUCCAUAGGAUUGUCAGCAUGAUAUCUAACAGAGGACUGUACAAUCCAUUAUCUAAAGGAGAAGAUUGAUUAGAUUAGAGUUGACAGCGUCUUUGAGAGCUACGAUUGCAAACCGAAUU